GUUUUUUAACUAUGAAAAGGCUGAUAUGAAAAGGCUGAUAUGUUUCAAUGUUUACUCAAAUAAGCAAUCUAAGAUGCUAUAGAGCUCUGUCAAAAAUAUUUUUUAAUUCAUUUUGUUUUUAUUGCAGCUAUUUUUUUUUUUUUUUGCCAGUAAGGUGGUUUGAAUCAGAAUGGCCCCUGCAGGCCCAUAUAUUUGAGUCCUUAGUGGGAAGCACAAUUUGGAAGGAUUAGGAGGUGUGGUCUUAUUGAGAUGUGGCCUUGUUAGAGGAAGUGUGUACUGAGGGUAGGCUUUGAGGUUUCAGAAGCCCAAGCCAUCCCUAGUAACUCUCUCCUCCUGAUGCCUAUGGAUCAAGAUGUAGAACUCGAAAUGACUUCUCCUACACCAUGUCUGUCUGCAUGCCAUCUUGCUUCCUGCCAUGAUGACAAUGGUCUAAACCUUCUGAAACUGCAAGGAAGCCCCAAUUAAAUGUUUUCCUUUAUAAGAGUUGCCAUGGUCAUGAUGUCUCUUCACAGCCAUAGAACACUGACUAAAACAGUCAAUUAUAACAAAUAAUAGCCACGUCUUUCACUUUCUUUUCAGGGAUUGCAAGGCAGGUUCAAACACAAGAUUCAACAUUUCCAUUUUAAAAUGGGUUUACACGCACCAUCUUUCCUAGGCAUUACUAGCUGCUAUGGUGGAUAAUCCUGUCCCUUAUAGUCACAGGCAUGAAUUUCUUAAGUUUCACAUGUUCCUUGGUGGUAACUGAAAGGAACAGUAUCUGCACAAGACACCCAAAGACUACAUUCUCAGCACAAAGGAGGUUUAUUUGUCCCAGAGGGACAAAGGACUGCCUCUGAAUAGAGAGGAGACAGGCAUGGCCCAUAGGCAAAUGGCAGUUUAUAAAGGUCAAGGGGGAAACCAUGAGUUAGGAUGAGUUGUUUAAUGUUUGUUUGUUUGUUUGUUUGUUUGUUUGUUUGUUGAGACAGGGUUUCUUUGUGUAGCCCUGGUUCUCUUGGAACUCUCUCUGUAGACCAGGCUGUCCUCAAACCACUAACCUCUGCCUCCUGAGUGCUGGGAUUAAAGCACCACUGCCUGACUUGAGUUGGUUAAUUUUCUUUAGACAGGUUAAUCAGGGUAGCCACAAGGGAGCUUUUAAAUCCUGGACUUUAAUACUUGGAUAGCUGAGCCUUGGUAGUCGGCUUCAAGGGGAAGAAGUGGCCAAAUAAGGGAUUAGGCCUUGGUGGCUGGCUUCAGGAAUGUAAUCUACUGCUGUAAGCAAGGUAGAAGGAAUUUGAGAAAGGCAAGCCUGUGAGAACCAUGUUUAGUAUUCUCAAAUCUGUUAGAGUCCUUUCAGUGACAGUAUAGCUAUUUACAACAUAUGUUUACUAAAGCAAACAUUGAUCCAGGACAUGAAUGUUUAUAGUUUUGCCUUGUCUAGCUACAGUUUUCAAUUAGUUUGAAGAGUUUUAUUUGCAACACUAUCCUAAGUAGAAAGAUAAGAAAGGCUGUGAUGACUAUCAGCACCCUAGGCUCUUAUUUCAAUUUUUAAAAAGUCUAAAAUAACACUGUUCCAAAUUCUGUACAUAGCUUCUGUGCUUUCCAAAAGACAUACAAGUUAUUGAACAAAUUAAGGCAAAUGAAUUGUGCAAGUGAUGUAGCUCAGUCUGUGUUGAUAUUUUGUUUGUGAUCUAACAAAUAAAGCUUGCCUGAAGAUCAGAGUGCAGAACUAAGCCACUAGCUAGCCAUAGAGGCCAGACAGUGAUGGCACACAACUUUAAUCCCGGCACUAAGGAGACAGAGGUAGAUGGAGCUCUGUGAGUUCAAGGCCACCAUGGGCUACACUAGACUGAUCCAGUCUCAAAUAGAAACAGAGCUCACAGUUUUAAUCCCAGUGCUUGGGAGGUGGAGACAGGAGUGAUAUUGUUGAGUGGAGAGAGGAAUAUAAGGCAGGAGGAGACAGGAGCUCAUUGCCUUCAGUCUGAGAAUUCGUAGGGACAGAAUUGCCCUUUUAGUUUGAGGAUUCAGUAGAGGUAAGAACUAGUGGCUGGCUGCUCUGCUGCUCUGAUCUUUCAGCAUUAACCCCUAUGUCUGACUCAAAAUUUUCAUUAUUAAGACCAAUUAGAAUACAAGCUAGGGUGGUCCUUUAAUACUCAUUUUUUUCCAGAUCUACAAAACAAUAAAGGGUACUGGAGAAGAAAGGUAAUCAUCAAUAUUGCCCAGCUAUAAGCCUGCAACAGUGGCAUGCCUAUAAGAUAUACUAGUGCAAUCAUGGCACAAACAGUAAGGGAGUAACCAAUCACUUUUUACUUGGACUCAAGACCCAGUAUCUGAUGGAACUCAUAUCGGACACUGCUAAAGUGGCCAGGAAACUGAGCCUAGAUGGGUCAGGGAGGUAUGGGAACAUCUAUUCUACUAUUUUACUAAAGAAUCAUAGCAAUAAAAUGACUUGUAAGGACAUGCUGCUAUAUCUAUAGGCCAAUGGCUCACUCAACCCACAACAGAGAAGCUUCUUGAAGUGUAGGAGAAUUAACAAAGAGACCCACAACUGGACAGUGUGUUGAGAAUGAGAAACUUAGUUCUAAAUGGGAUACCUUAAUAAAACCCCUUUCUCAAGGCUCAGGGAUUUAUACAGACAAGGAGGCAGAAAGAUUAUAAGAGCCAGAGAUGAUGAAUGACUCCAAGGAAUAGUACCUUCUAGACACGAUAGGACUAUUGCUAAUAUGAACUCACAGACACUGUGUCAGCAUGCAUAAGACCUGCACAGGUACAAGCCACAUGGGGUCUCAUCACUGACAAGAGGAAGUGGACAAAUCGUCCUGGGCCUAACAGAAGCUAUCACAAUUGAUAUCCUCCUGGCAAAGGGAAAAACCUGCUUUCUCCAAUGGGGUUUACUGAAUUUAUCAACCAUACUUCAGGGUAGACCCUAUGUCCAGGAGUAGCUUGUCAAUACAAAACAAACUCAAUGGUAUUUUUGUGGACUUUUUGUUUCAUUUUGCUCUGUUUGGGAUUUUUUUCUUUUAUUGGUCUUUUGCUUGUCUGUUUUUGUGUUCUGUGGUUUCUUUUUUUUUUUUUUUUUUUGGUUCUGUUUGAAAUUUUUUUCAAAAAAGAAAAAAGACAACUUAAACCCUGGUAAAAAUAUUUUUGGGGCCUGUGAGGAAGACUGGACUAACAAAGUCUUCAGAGAGCCUUGCAUUCAGACUGGUACCCUUCCAGAUAUGUAGCCCCAGUUAUUUUUGCUGGUGGCAUCAAGAAAAACUUCAUGUGGAAUGUGCAUCUGUGUCCAGGCCACAGCUUUCUUCCUUCACAGCCUUCUGAAACUCAGUCUCAGCUACCAUAGCUCAGAAGAAGUAAGGCAGCCAUUCAGAGACUGGCUUCUUCCCAUUAUUUCGGUAAGACAUCUCAAAGUAUUGGUUUAAGUAACAAUUAACAUUUCCACUACUAAGAAAUAUCUAUGCUGUACUGUAGCCUCAAACUCAGUUUUAACACCAGUUCAUGAUCCUGAAACACACAUGGCAAUCAUUCAACUAACAUAUCAUAAACAAGUAAUGGACUUCGGCAUCAUCAUAAGUAAUGAUUAAUGGCCAUCUCAAAAUAGUGUAGAAGAGCAUUAAACUGUUUUUCUUCAUUAUGUCUUUGAGUUUUUUGAGGUUAUAAUAUAAUUAUAUCAUUUCCCCCUUUCCUUUCCUCCCUCCAAGCCUUCCCAUACACUGGUCUUUAUUCUUUCAAAUUCAUGGCCUCUCUCUUCAUUAAUUGUUGUUACAAAACAAACAUACAAGUGAAAUUAUACAUACUGAACAUGCUGUAUUUACACAUAUAGGAAUUUAUGUUUGUGAACAUAAACUGUUUCUUUUAAUGCCUAUCAUGUAAUACCAUGGAAAUAUUCCAAACUUAGCACUCUCAAGCUUCUUAGAAUCUCCAUAUGACCAAAGUUUACAUCUCAACACUCUCAGGCAGAGCUAUGCACUGCCCUCCUCACUGCACUUUACUCUGGUGAUAAACCCACAAAACUAUAGAAUAUAAAUUAAUUUGCAGACUGGGUAUUUUGCCAAGGUAACAAAUCCAACUGUGUUGUCACUCCCUUGGGGCAAUCUUUAUCCUAAUGUUUCUUUGUGAGCUAAUUAUGCAUGUGUCUUUGUUUCUCUUCUUUCAAAUGAAAGAGAUGCUUUCUACAGAUGAGUGUAAUGUGAGGACUAUAAAAUAUCAGAACAAGAAGAAAAAGUCAGGGCUUUCAGUGUAUCCAUGAGACAAUUGAGGACCAUAGUUAGCACAGCUCUGUGAUACUAGACAGCUCCCAAAGCUUAGUUUACUGCACAUCCUUGGCUCGAAAUGUCCAUUGUGAACAAGCCAAACUAAAGUGCCAUUGAAUUUCUGACUGACCAGUGGCAGAAAACAGUAGAUAUCUGAACUGAUGAGUGAAAGAGAAAGAGCAUAUGACAAUAUUUGCCAAAUAACCCCUAUGGAGAUGAUUUUAUCAAUGUAUUUAAAUUUUCUUCCUAAAAUUUACCAUAUACCUUUAUGGUAAUAAGAUAAUAAUAACAUUGAAAAUAUCAACUCCAUUCUUUAGAUGGAAAACAAGUGAUGAAUACUGCUAAAAACCAUUAGCCAGACAAAGCCAUGUUAAGUUGUGUUAGUAGAGAAAUGGGGUUAUUAUUAUCAUUAGCAGCAGCAGCAAAGCAGCAUUCUCUCAAGCAUUGCAGUCCAACUGCAGUUUCCCCAUCCUCCACUCCUCCCAGUUCCUCCCCGCCACACCCCUUCUUCCCCUAAUCCUCUCCUCCAGAGAAAUGGCGUUAUUUAAUGAAGCAUGUUUCAACAAUAAAUAACAACAAUAAAAGAAAUGAUCUGCUGGUUAGCUGCAAUGGGGCAUUCCACUCAUAUCUCAAAGAACUGGGAAUUAAAAUUCAAACUAUUUAAUUGUUGGUAUGUAAGUUAAAAGUUAUAAAGUGUUUAAAGGAUAAAGGAGGCCACUAUAAUGGCCAUAAAUUUUAAAAUGGUCUCACUUCUAGUGCAAAUAAGGGAAGCAAAUAAGUGCCACAUUUCUUAUGCAUUCAUUUGGUGUCCCUGCUGAAUAAUAAUGUAGAUGCUGAGACUCCCACAGAGCUGUAACGCUUCAGGGAGAAUUUACUCCAGAAACUGCGGUUGAUUAUUUUCACAGGAAACACUGGCAUGAAUGAAGAGCUGACCUCCCUAGGAAUUGCCACGGUGUGUACAGCCCAAGCUUGAGGGAUAGUAUAAGCUGAUUGCUUUUAUUCACAAAACUCACAUGUUGAAAUACUAAAAGUACGUGACGAUGUUAUUAGGAGAGGCCUUUGAAAGGUAAUUAGGAUGUGGGAGCCAGUAGUUCAUAAAUGUAGUACCCUCAUUACAGGAACUGUAAGCUGGGGCUUCUAACUUGCCGGUAGACCUCUUGCCUUACAUGUACAAGGUCUUAGUUUCAACCUUAAAAAACAGCAGAUAAAUGUGUUAAGUGGAAUCUCCGAGAGAUAGCUUCCACCAAGUGAGACACAGUUAGAAGGCACCCUGUGUGAACCGAGACAUGGACUUUCACCAGUUACUAAAUAUGCUAGCACACUGCUUAGCAGCUUUCAGAACAGUGAAAAAUAAAUUUCUAUUGUUUAGAAUCCACAGUCUAUCUCAUUUUUCUGUAGUAUUCCAAGGGGAUUAUAAUAAGCUCCAGCUUUAGGAUGAACAAAUAAUUGAAUUCUCAAUAUGUAGUGAGCCACUGAAGAAGAGCAAAGGUCAAUGCCCAAGGAUGAGUCCCAAAUGAAGCCUGGCACAAACAUGGGGGACUUCUGAAAUGAGCUCCCAUCCAAAGCGGAAACAAGAGGAAGCAAGGCUAGCACAUUGUUGACCACUGUAUACACCACGGCGUGGACAAAGCUGACCCCUCAGAACUGCCCGUCCUCUCCCGCUUCUCCAAGUCAACAUCAGCUUCUGUUAGUUGCUCAGCUGAACAAAGCCUAACCCUACAAGUCCAUGGUUCUGUGCCGCCUAGGAGUCUCUUUCUCUGAUCAUCAUCAUCAUCAUGCCUUCCCAAAAUAUCAAUCUUAUCACCUGUAAUAUAUACAAGGAAACAGUACCACUAUUUUCUCAAUGUUCUAUUGAUAAAAUGAGUUAACACAUUUGCAUCAUGUAUUUGAUGUCUAGUACAUAGUUUGCUUUUUAGGAAAAAUGGAUAAUUGAUAUAAAAUUUUUCUUCUUCAGCCAGGCAUGACAGCACACACCUUUAAUGCCAGCACUCAGGAGACAGAAGCAGACAUUUGGGGGGGGGGGGUAAUUUUGAGGCCAGCCUAGACUACACAGUGAGGUAUUUUUGUUUUUUGCUUUGUUUUGUUUCAGGUUUUGGGUUUGGUUUUUUGAGACAGGGUUUCUCUGUGUAGCCUUGGAGGCUGUCCUGGCACUCACUCUGUAGACCAGGCUGGCCUCGAAAUCACAGAGAUCUGCCUGCCUCUGCCUCCCAAGUGCUGGAAUUAAAGGCAUGCACCAUCAAUGCCCUGCUACACAGUGAGUUUUAGGAGAGCUAAGGCUACAUAGAGAAACUUUGUCUCAAAUUAAAUAUUUCCUUUGUUAAGUAAAAUAAAAGUUUUCUCCAAAGGUUAAUCAAUUCUGCUGAUAUAUGUGAACAUAUUCCAAACUGUCCAUAUAUUAAUUUAAAAAUUAAUGGUUUACCAAGGAGAAGUCAACCAACUGGAGGAAAUAUGGGAAUGAGAGGGAAAUGGGAAAUCUAAUGUACUGAAAGAACACAAUAUUCAUUUGUGAAAAUGUCAGAAUGAAGUCCAUUGUUACUAUUCUGUUGUCUAAAACACAUUAAGGUAGUGCUGUCUGUUUGGAUUAAAACCUGUUAAUUAUUAAAAUAAACACUGUAUUUAGCUUUCUUAUUAAAGUUGAUAUAAAUGCUUCA
This 6877-nucleotide long non-coding RNA is filed under the name Cricetulus griseus (Chinese hamster). RNAcentral's name for it is "lncRNA (ENSCGRG00015031289.1)". Lineage: Eukaryota; Metazoa; Chordata; Mammalia; Rodentia; Cricetidae. The record is from RNAcentral.